This 563-nucleotide long non-coding RNA is filed under the name Junco hyemalis (dark-eyed junco). RNAcentral describes it as "lncRNA (ENSJHYG00000005482.1)". Lineage: Eukaryota; Metazoa; Chordata; Aves; Passeriformes; Passerellidae. The record is from RNAcentral.
AUGCUCAUGUGCAUUGGCUGGAAGAUAACCUGGCUGAGGCCAGUGCCCAGCUGGCUGUGGUGGGGGAGAGCCAAGCUGAAAAUAAAGCCAUCAGGCUCCAAGGUCUCUGGAAGCUUACACUGUAAACAUUUAGAAGAUGCUACAGUCUCUUGUCCUUGUGGCCAAGAGAAACCAGUGAUGGACACCCUGGCACACACCCAGAGUUUCCUGGGCUCUCCCCCAGCCUCCAUCAGCUGGCAGAGAGCCCCUCUCUGCUGCAGGGAGAUGAUGUGGUGUCCUGUUCCCAUUUUGUGAAAGCAACCAUCUGAAAGGCUGGAUAAAAACUGGGGAAAAAAAAUUCUCUUUAUUAGUGUUCUUCAUUCUUCCACCUCUGUGAACACAUGCAGCUAGCAGGGCUCAUUCAGAAAUCCAGGAUAAUAUCUAGCAGUGAAAGAAAAGGGCAGCUGACAAAAAGUGACUGAAACCAUUUCAUGCUGUUUCCAGUCAAAGGAUCUGUCUGGUGCACUCAGGAGAGUUCAUGGUCCUGAAAUAAACCUAUCACAUGAAAUAUCUGUUUUCUUCCC